GAGACGCUGGCGGCGUGCCUAACACAUGCAAGUCGAGCGGGGUUGAAGCGAGAGGUAACUCGAGCUUCUACCUAGCGGCGGACGGGUGAGUAACGCGUGGGCAACCUGCCUCAAGGUUUGGGAUAACAGCCCGAAAGGGCUGCUAAUACCGGAUAUGCCUAUGGCCUCGCAUGGGGCUAUGAGCAAAGGGGAAACCCGCCUUGAGAUGGGCCCGCGUCCCAUCAGCUAGUUGGUGAGGUAACAGCUCACCAAGGCGACGACGGGUAGCCGGCCUGAGAGGGUGACCGGCCACACUGGGACUGAGACACGGCCCAGACUCCUACGGGGGGCAGCAGUGGGGGAUCUUGCACAAUGGGCGAAAGCCUGAUGCAGCGACGCCGCGUGAGCGAAGAAGGCCUUCGGGUUGUAAAGCUCUGUCUGGAGGGACGAACAAAAUGACGGUACCUCCGGAGGAAGCCACGGCUAACUACGUG
This 473-nucleotide ribosomal RNA is filed under the name uncultured bacterium. RNAcentral describes it as "bacterial SSU rRNA". It matches the Rfam family "Bacterial small subunit ribosomal RNA", at positions 33 to 507 of the family's 1533-position model. The record is from RNAcentral.